RNAcentral lists this ribosomal RNA (525 nucleotides) under Escherichia coli. RNAcentral's name for it is "partial 23S ribosomal RNA". It matches the Rfam family "Bacterial large subunit ribosomal RNA", at positions 2240 to 2764 of the family's 2925-position model. The record is from RNAcentral. Lineage: Bacteria; Pseudomonadati; Pseudomonadota; Gammaproteobacteria; Enterobacterales; Enterobacteriaceae. RNAcentral also lists the same sequence under 1 other name.
CCGGGUUGCGGACAGUGUCUGGUGGGUAGUUUGACUGGGGCGGUCUCCUCCUAAAGAGUAACGGAGGAGCACGAAGGUUGGCUAAUCCUGGUCGGACAUCAGGAGGUUAGUGCAAUGGCAUAAGCCAGCUUGACUGCGAGCGUGACGGCGCGAGCAGGUGCGAAAGCAGGUCAUAGUGAUCCGGUGGUUCUGAAUGGAAGGGCCAUCGCUCAACGGAUAAAAGGUACUCCGGGGAUAACAGGCUGAUACCGCCCAAGAGUUCAUAUCGACGGCGGUGUUUGGCACCUCGAUGUCGGCUCAUCACAUCCUGGGGCUGAAGUAGGUCCCAAGGGUAUGGCUGUUCGCCAUUUAAAGUGGUACGCGAGCUGGGUUUAGAACGUCGUGAGACAGUUCGGUCCCUAUCUGCCGUGGGCGCUGGAGAACUGAGGGGGGCUGCUCCUAGUACGAGAGGACCGGAGUGGACGCAUCACUGGUGUUCGGGUUGUCAUGCCAAUGGCACUGCCCGGUAGCUAAAUGCGGAAGAGA